CGUGCCCCCGAGUCAGGGAUAGCUGCCCGAAAGGGCAGGUAAUACCUGAUGAGACCACGACCGGGCAUCCGGUUGUGCUCAAAGCAGCAAUGCGCUCAGGGAGCGGGCGAUAUCGUAUCAGCUAGUUGGUGAGGUAACGGCUCACCAAGGCGACGACGCGUAGCCGGACUGAGAGGUUGGCCGGCCACAUUGGGACUGAGACACUGCCCAG
Molecule: ribosomal RNA, 211 nt
Filed under: uncultured bacterium
Lineage: Bacteria
Description: partial 16S ribosomal RNA
Rfam family: Bacterial small subunit ribosomal RNA
Source: RNAcentral